RNAcentral lists this ribosomal RNA (471 nucleotides) under uncultured bacterium. RNAcentral describes it as "bacterial SSU rRNA". It matches the Rfam family "Bacterial small subunit ribosomal RNA", at positions 355 to 825 of the family's 1533-position model. The record is from RNAcentral.
UGGGGAAUUGUUCGCAAUGGGCGCAAGCCUGACGACGCAACGCCGCGUGGAGGAUGAAGGUCUUCGGAUCGUAAACUCCUGUUGAUCGGGACGAAAAGCUUCAACCUAAUACGUUGAAGACUGACGGUACCGGUUGAGGAAGCCACGGCUAACUCUGUGCCAGCAGCCGCGGUAAUACGUAGGGACCAAGCGUUGUUCGGAUUUACUGGGCGUAAAGGGCGCGUAGGCGGCUUAACAAGUCACUUGUGAAAUCUCCGGGCUUAACUCGGAACGGCCAAGUGAAACUGUUAAGCUAGAGUGCAGAAGGGGCAAUCGGAAUUCUUGGUGUAGCGGUGAAAUGCGUAGAUAUCAAGAGGAACACCUGAGGUGAAGACGGGUUGCUGGGCUGACACUGACGCUGAGGCGCGAAAGCCAGGGGAGCAAACGGGAUUAGAUACCCCCGUAGUCCCUGAGCGGGCUGGCAAGGCGCAU